CUGUAUUUAUUGUGAUUAUGGUAAAAUAUAUAAAUGAAACAUGUUUUAUGUAGGUUUGGUGAAAUAGAAUAAAACCAGUUAAUAUGUAGACCAUGGUUUUUGGGAACACCAGUUGCUAUUGAUUUGAGGAGUCAAGCAGUAUGGAAGGGACACCACGGUCUGCAGACUGUUAUCAUGGACGCAGACUUAAGUUCCAUUAUUAUGUGGAUGUUACAAAAAUAAAAACUUAAACCAAAGCUUAUAAGAGUUUGAUGGGGGAGGGUCUCUUAGUAGAAAGCAAACCAACACUACAAUUGUAUGUAACAUCUGGAUGAUACCAUACUGUAAUUGUGAGGUCCAGUGCAGUACAGAUACCAACAAACAUAACAAACGAUGCAAUAUGGUCAAAGUAAACAAAAUGACUUGGUCAUGUAUAUACAGUGUUUAAUUUUGUUUGCUAUUAAUUAGCCUAGUCAAAUAAAUCAUUGGUAUGCGUAAGAUGAAAUAUGUACAUUUUUAAAAGAAUCCUUAUCACUUUGCACAAUCGUAUUGCCAUAAAGCCCAGCCUGUAGUAUAAUAUAGCAAGAAUUUAUUAGAAUAUUUCAGUCUCAACAAUUGUGUAUGUCAUUGUUUUCCAUCCUUGCGCAUAAAGGGUUGAUAUGGUUUUGCUCUCGAUACUCCCCGCUGAUACAGGUGUAUAGCUCUUGGAAUCAUAGUGACUAUCAAGAGAAGUUGAAGAUCUUAUAAGCUGCAAAUGAACAAGCUGAAAAUCCAAAGAAUCAUAUCAGCUAUCAAGAUUUCAUCAAAGAAGAGAAGAGAUUGAUGCCAUGGACUUCACAGUAGAGAAGACUACAACUAGUAACAGAUAUAUACACUUUUCGUUGUUAUGAAACAACUAAAUUAUAUAAGCUACAAAGGAAAUCCAACUGACACACCUCCAUGUCAAGUGGAUGUGGUACCAUCUGGCCUCCAGCAUUUCACUAAUUCGAUGGAAUUUUAUAC
Molecule: long non-coding RNA, 981 nt
Organism: Anneissia japonica
Lineage: Eukaryota; Metazoa; Echinodermata; Crinoidea; Comatulida; Comatulidae
Exons: 4
Source: RefSeq, a predicted model, not a curated record